This 3130-nucleotide long non-coding RNA is filed under the name Sus scrofa (pig). RNAcentral describes it as "lncRNA (ENSSSCG00030065894.1)". The record is from RNAcentral. Lineage: Eukaryota; Metazoa; Chordata; Mammalia; Artiodactyla; Suidae.
GGAUUGCGAUCUCUGGGCAUCACAGGAAAUAGCUGAAGGACGUAUGCACUUAUACAGCACGUCCUCACGGCCACAAGGCAGGGCGGACUCUCCCUCUGCUCUAUUAGCCCUGGGGAAAAAAACGGAAGAGCAAGGCCCAGACUCUAGACCUGGGGCGGCUCUGGCUUCUGCCAACAGCUGCAGUACCUACAGCUGUGGACAGGUCCCUGGCUGAGGACUUUGGAAUUGACGCCUGUGCUUUUAUUACCUACGUGCAGUUUUCAUUGUACUAUGUACUCCAUUUAUAGUAGACUCUCAGAUUAAGGCACGGUAAAGAGUGAAAUAGAAAAAAGUGGUGUUUUUUGGGUUUAUUGUUUUUUGCAGAAGUUCCCAGGCUAGGGGUUGAAUCGGAGCUGUAGCCACCGGCCUACGCCAGAGCCACAGCAACGCGGGAUCCGAGCCGCGUCUGCGACCUACACCACAGCUCACGGCAACGCCGGAUCCUUAACCCACUGAGCGAGGCCAGGGAUCAAACCCGCCACUUCAUGGUUCCUGGUUGGAUUCGUUAACCACUGCGCCAUGGCAGGAACUCCCAAAGUAUUUUUAAAUGCAGGUUAUCAUUCUUAUGAUAGAUAACCAGCAUCUAUGAAAGAAGAUUGUUCAAACGUUUCAAAAAAGUAAAAAUGUGGCCUUACUGGUUAGAAAGCAACGAGACGAAAGGUGACAGAGGCAGAACAGCUGGAAAGCGGGAAAGAAUCUCAUUGUUCCAGCCCCUCAGUCAUGUUCAGAAAGAGUAUUGCAGCUGGUGAAAAGAUAAUCAGGCCAGUUAACAGAGUGGACAGAGUGCAGGUGAGUUGUGUAAUGACGUGGAUGCUUCUUUUAUCGAAGGACUAAAGGGUUUUGAAAUGGUUCUAGGACGCGGAAGGUGACCUAGCAGAUGCUCUGGAAGGGAAGCAGCCACAAGGUAGAAAGUUGAUUUUCCUUAUGAAGGAAUUUAGAUGUGGUUUGGGUGUUUUGUUGUUGUUGUUGUUGUUUUGUAAUAUAGAAAGAUAAUGCAAAUCUAAUUGAAGCAACCUGAGUGGGCAGAAAGCUUCUGACCUUAGGUCAAGAUUAACAUUUACUUGGAGGUGAUUACUUUAGUGACUCAUCUAAACCCAGGAUGUGGUCUUAAGGAGAGGCUGAGUGCUUUGAGGUGAACAGGGUGCUGAGAUGUAUUUUCUUCAUUUUGUAGUCAUUACUAUAUGGCUUUUCUUUGAUCUUGUAGUAAUUUAUUGUUCCGUAGUGGUGGUAGAAAUAAGUUUGUUUUCUCGGGUAUGAAACAAAGCUUGUGGUGCUUCAGCUGGGUGGUGUACCUUCGUUGUGCCUGUUCAGCCUCUUGAUUUUGUGAUACAUGAACUUCUAAGGCCCUGCUGUCUCUCUGAGCAAGAGUAUUAGAAUUCUAGGCAGGAAUCAAGCACCUCCUAGCAGUUGAAUUACAAUUACAGUGUGAAUUACAGACUGAAAUCCUGUCACGGUGAAGGCAAUGUGACAGAUUUGAUCCUUGGCCUGGAAACCAUGUAUGUGAAGGUGUCGGGCCUCUGGAUGACUUGUCCCUUGAACCUCGUCUCUCACUGCUGUAAGAGAGUGGGAUUUCAGUAUUGCUCAGUGGCACGUUUCUAAAAACGUGGUUGUGUUUAUGCGUUUUAGCCCUCUGUCUUGGAUGUAUGGAGGGGUGGGCAUGGAUGAUCUUUCUUGGCUACUUUAAUUCCAAUGAGUGCCUUAUAUUUAGCAGAAAAUACCCCCAAAGUCUGCAUAGAUGUCUGUCUUGAGCCAAUGACCUGUUUCAAUUCAAGCAGUGUCAUAUUCGAGUCUCCUCAUGAGCCUUGGGGAGGGUUAGGAAGUGUCCUCAGUGGCUCAGUAUCAAAAGGGAGUCACAGCAGGAGAAGUGAUUGCUCGGGUCAGGCUAGCAGAGUUUGGCCUUUGAAGACACGGAAGCUAAGCUGGCUUAGUUAAGAAAGUCAAGGCAUCCCCGCGGUGGUGAAGUGGAUCGGCAGCGUCUCUGCAGCACCUGGAUGCAGGUUCAAUCUGCAGGUUUGAUCCCCAGCUGGGCGCAGUGGGUUAAAGGAUCCAAUGUUGGAGUUCCCGUCGUGGUGAAGUGGUUAACGAAUCCGACUAGGAACCAUGAGGUUGUGGGUUCGAUCCCUGGCCUUGCUCAGUGGGUUCCGGAUCCGGCGUUGCUGUGAGCUGUGGUGUAGGUCGAAGACGAGGCUCGGAUCCCAUGUUGCUGUGGCUGUGGCGUAGGUCGGCGGCUACAGUUCCGAUUAGACCCCUAGCCUGAGAACCUCUAUGUGCCGUGGGAGCGGUCCUAGAAAAGGCAAAAAGACCGGGGAAAAAAAAAAAAAGAAAGAAAGAAAGAAAAAAGAAAGUAUCCAGUGUUGCUGCUGCCGCUGCUGCUGCAGGGUAGGUCUCAACAGCUGCUCAGAUCUGAUCCUUGGCCUGGAAGCUCCAUAGGUCAAAGUGUCAGGCCUCUGGAUGACUUGUUCCUUGAGCCUUCGCUCUUACUGCUCUAAGAGAGUAGGAUUUCAAUAUCAUUCUUCAUGUUCACAGAUUAAAACUAAGCUCUUUUAACUUCCUGGGUGCCACUUUCUAAGAGGUUUUCUGCUUUUGCAGUUUCCAAAAUUGAAUAGUGUUUCAAAUGCGAUAAUACUAGAGAAGUUUGGGGGUACAGAAUCAAUUACAAGUUAUUUUGGUUUGGGGCACUUCUACUCUGAUACACUCAGGUGUAGCUUUCGUGUUGUGUCCUGUUUAGGUGUUCCUGGAGCUUCUUCAGUCGGUGGCUUGAUACCAUUGCUCCAUUUUUGGAACGGUAUUUGUUCAAAUAUUGAUUCUGCUCCAUUUUUUUUCUCCCUCCCAGGUCUCCACUUACACGUAUGCCAGACCUUUUUCAUCAGCAGCCUCCUGUGUUUCUUAGCUCUUUUAUGUAGUUUUAAAAAAGCCUAUUUUUUUUCCAAUCUUUUCAGUCUGGACUGUUUUUGUUUCUUUUCCAUGGUGAUAAUUUUCAUACACCCUUCAAUCUCGAUGUUUUCUACAUAGUAGUUUCAGUUCACUAAUUCUUUCCUAAUCUGUUUAAACUGCUAGUAAACUUAUCUAUGGAUUUAAAAAAAAAAAAAAA